GAAAGAACAUAUCAAUAUUUGCAUAUUCAUUCAAAAACAUGAAAAUUCUUAAUGGAGUACCCUCAUUUUUUAUUGAAUUCCUAAAAACCAAUAUUUAUAAUGAAUUUUAAUAAUUUUUUCGGAUUUUUUUGAAGCUUUAUUCUGACCGAUUCACCCGAUUCCGAUCCGGAUCGCCGAUUCGCCGAUCCGGAUCGCCGAUUCGCCGAUCCGGAUCGGUUUUUGAAAAGCCCGAUCCGGGUCACCGAUCCGGUUUUUAAACCAUUG
Molecule: long non-coding RNA, 264 nt
Filed under: Amborella trichopoda
Lineage: Eukaryota; Viridiplantae; Streptophyta; Magnoliopsida; Amborellales; Amborellaceae
Description: long non-coding RNA (ATRI_LNC001690)
Source: RNAcentral